This 433-nucleotide ribosomal RNA is filed under the name uncultured bacterium. Its description in RNAcentral is "partial 16S ribosomal RNA". It matches the Rfam family "Bacterial small subunit ribosomal RNA", at positions 29 to 507 of the family's 1533-position model. The record is from RNAcentral.
AGCGAACGCUGGCGGCAGGCUUAACACAUGCAAGUCGAACGCAUCCUUCGGGGUGAGUGGCAGACGGGUGAGUAACACGUGGGAACGUACCCUUCGAUCUGGGAUAACUUCGGGAAACUGGAGCUAAUACCGGAUACGCCCUUUUGGGGAAAGGUUUACUGUCGAAGGAUCGGCCCGCGUCUGAUUAGCUAGUUGGUGGGGUAACGGCCUACCAAGGCGACGAUCAGUAGCUGGUCUGAGAGGAUGAUCAGCCACACUGGGACUGAGACACGGCCCAGACUCCUACGGGAGGCAGCAGUGGGGAAUAUUGGACAAUGGGCGCAAGCCUGAUCCAGCCAUGCCGCGUGAGUGAUGAAGGCCUUAGGGUUGUAAAGCUCUUUUGUCCGGAACGAUAAUGACGGUACCGGAAGAAUAAGCCCCGGCUAACUUCGUG